UACGUAGGGUGCGAGCGUUAAUCGGAAUUACUGGGCGUAAAGCGUGCGCAGGCGGUUCGUUCUGUCCGAUGUGAAAGCCCCGAGCUCAACUUGGGAAUGGCAUUGGAAACUGGCGAGCUGGAGUGUGGCAGAGGGGGGUGGAAUUCCACGUGUAGCAGUGAAAUGCGUAGAGAUGUGGAGGAACACCGAUGGCGAAGGCAGCCCCCUGGGCCAACACUGACGCUCAGGCACGAAAGCGUGGGGAGCAAACAGG
Molecule: ribosomal RNA, 253 nt
Filed under: uncultured bacterium
Lineage: Bacteria
Description: partial 16S ribosomal RNA
Rfam family: Bacterial small subunit ribosomal RNA
Source: RNAcentral